RNAcentral lists this ribosomal RNA (253 nucleotides) under uncultured bacterium. RNAcentral's name for it is "partial 16S ribosomal RNA". It matches the Rfam family "Bacterial small subunit ribosomal RNA", at positions 524 to 776 of the family's 1533-position model. The record is from RNAcentral.
GACGGAGGGUGCAAGCGUUGUUCGGAUUGACUGGGCGUAAAGGGCGUGUAGGCGGUCGGCCAAGUCUGAUGUGAAAGCCCGAGGCUCAGCCUCGGAAGUGCGUCGGAAACUAGUCGGCUGGAGCGCGAUAGAGGAGGGUGGAAUUCCUGGUGUAGCGGUGAAAUGCGUAGAUAUCAGGAGGAACACCGGCGGCGAAGGCGGCCCUCUGGAUCGUUGCUGACGCUGAGGCGCGAAAGCGUGGGGAGCGAACAGG